This 481-nucleotide ribosomal RNA is filed under the name uncultured bacterium. Its description in RNAcentral is "partial 16S ribosomal RNA". It matches the Rfam family "Bacterial small subunit ribosomal RNA", at positions 30 to 506 of the family's 1533-position model. The record is from RNAcentral.
AUUGAACGCUGGCGGCAUGCUUUACACAUGCAAGUCGAACGGCAGCGCGGGGCAACCUGGCGGCGAGUGGCGCACGGGUGAGUAAUAUAUCGGAACGUACCCAGAAGUGGGGGAUAACGUAGCGAAAGUUACGCUAAUACCGCAUACGAUCUACGGAUGAAAGUAGGGGACCGCAAGGCCUUAUGCUUUUGGAGCGGCCGAUAUCUGAUUAGCUAGUUGGUGAGGUAAAGGCUCACCAAGGCGACGAUCAGUAGCUGGUCUGAGAGGACGACCAGCCACACUGGAACUGAGACACGGGCCAGACUCCUACGGGAGGCAGCAGUGGGGAAUUUUGGACAAUGGGCGCAAGCCUGAUCCAGCAAUGCCGCGUGAGUGAAGAAGGCCUUCGGGUUGUAAAGCUCUUUUGUCAGGGAAGAAACGGUAGAGGCUAAUAGCCUUUGCUAAUGACGGUACCGGAAGAAUAAGCACCGGCUAACUACGU